RNAcentral lists this ribosomal RNA (558 nucleotides) under uncultured eukaryote. RNAcentral describes it as "bacterial SSU rRNA". It matches the Rfam family "Eukaryotic small subunit ribosomal RNA", at positions 4 to 569 of the family's 1831-position model. The record is from RNAcentral.
CUGGUUGAUCCUGCCAGUAGUCAUAUGCUCAAUUCGAAGAUUAAGCCAUGCAAGUGUCAGUAUAAGAUUUUAUACGUCGAAACUGCGAAUAGCUCAUUAAAACAAUUAUAGUUUAUGCGGAAAUACAUUACUACACGGAUACCUGUGGUAAUUCUGGAGCUAAUACGUGAAUCAACAUCCAUUAGGAUGUCACUUAUUAGAUAAGAACCAACCUAUGCUUGCAUAGUGGUUUGGUGAUCCAUAAUAACUUAGUGAAUCGCAUGGUCUCAACCGGCGAUAGUCCGCCUAAGUUUUUGACCUAUCAGCUAGACGGUACGGUAUUGUCCUAUCGUGGCUUUGACGGGUAACGGGGAAUUAGGGUUUGAUUCCGGAGAGGGAGCCUGAGAAACAGCUACCACUUCCACGGAAGGCAGCAGGCGCGCAAAUUGUCCAAUCCCAACACCUUGGGGAGACAGUGAAAAGAAAUAUCAAUGCAGGGCUUUAUAGCUUUGCAAUUGGAAUGAGUUUAACCUAAUAUACCCGUUUACAAGUAUCAAUUGGAGGAAAAGUCUGGUGCCA